Molecule: non-coding RNA, 45 nt
Filed under: Schistosoma margrebowiei
Lineage: Eukaryota; Metazoa; Platyhelminthes; Trematoda; Strigeidida; Schistosomatidae
Source: RNAcentral
AUCAGGCUGUUGAGUCCCAAAUAGGACGAAACACGCGUCAUGGAU